UAGGGAAUCUUCGGCAAUGGACGAAAGUCUGACCGAGCAACGCCGCGUGAGUGAAGAAGGUUUUCGGAUCGUAAAACUCUGUUGUUAGAGAAGAACAAGGACGUUAGUAACUGAACGUCCCCUGACGGUAUCUAACCAGAAAGCCACGGCUAACUACGUGCCAGCAGCCGCGGUAAUACGUAGGUGGCAAGCGUUGUCCGGAUUUAUUGGGCGUAAAGCGAGCGCAGGCGGUUUCUUAAGUCUGAUGGGAAAGCCCCCGGCUCAACCGGGGAGGGUCAUUGGAAACUGGGAGACUUGAGUGCAGAAGAGGAGAGUGGAAUUCCAUGUGUAGCGGUGAAAUGCGUAGAUAUAUGGAGGAACACCAGUGGCGAAGGCGGCUCUCUGGUCUGUAACUGACGCUGAGGCUCGAAAGCGUGGGGAGCAAACAGG
Molecule: ribosomal RNA, 429 nt
Filed under: Chloroflexota bacterium
Lineage: Bacteria; Bacillati; Chloroflexota
Also listed under: 1 other name
Description: Chloroflexi bacterium partial 16S ribosomal RNA
Rfam family: Bacterial small subunit ribosomal RNA
Source: RNAcentral